This is a long non-coding RNA of Micropterus salmoides (largemouth bass), 6088 nucleotides long. RefSeq lists it as uncharacterized. The transcript has 4 exons. NCBI's taxonomy places the organism in Eukaryota, Metazoa, Chordata, Actinopteri, Centrarchiformes, Centrarchidae. The record is from RefSeq and is a predicted model, not a curated record.
CAAUAAGUUAUAGAAACUUCUUUCUAUAAUUUACCAUCACUUAACAUAAUAAGUUAUGAAAUUUCAACUUAAUUUAAUGAGUUAUCACUAUUUCAACUCAGGUUUGUAAGCCAGUUCAGUGAAAUGUAAAUUUCAAUGUGUCAGUUUAAUUUAUAAGUGUGAGUUGGAAUAUGGUAACCGGAUCUCUUAAAAAGUGACCAUGACCCCGGUGUGGCGACAGUAUUAAUGCGCGGUGCAAAUAGUCCUGAAUAUUUUAUCUUGAUCUGAUAUACGACUAAUAUCUAUGCUGAUUGAUUUUUGUAACACAUUAAUGAGGCGUACCACCCAAUUGCAAUUCCCCAUUGAGAGAAGAAGAGGAACGCAAAUUAAGCCUACUGACAAUGGUGAGCAGGUAAGCAGCGGAUGAAUACGUUUUUUCCAGAAAGAUCUGGAUGAGAUUUGGCAGCGGAAAAGCGGGUCUUUUCGGAUUGGAGCAAGAGAAGCAAGGUGAGUCUGUCAUUUAUAAUAAUUGUAACCCAAUUCAAUGAGUCAAUUAACUUAACGUUAGUUAUGAAGAAACGAAUCGCUGUCAUGAAACUUUCUGAACACAGGAUAGUUCAGAGCAGCUUAUUAAUGCAUGUAACGUUAGUGUUGAGCAGUGAACCCAACUUUACAGUGUUUAACGUAAAUGUUAGUCCGAAUGUCACUUUUUACUUUUAUUAAGAAGAAACACAAGCAGAAUCUUUUAUGACAUUCACCCCUCAAAAAAAGGACAGUUAUGGCGCUUGGUAGUUGUUUGAAUGUUUGAGUUAGCUGCUUUAUAGAGUGUCAGUAAUUAACUUGGCCCGUGCCAACGAUGUGUGGAGUGGAGUCGACGUUUCAGUAAUUAGCCGUGGCUCGUAACGUUACCAACGUUGUUUCAGUAAUUAGACAUGGCCUGAUCCAACGAUGUGGGUGGAGAAGCGUCGGCAUUUCAGAAAUUAGCCUUGACCAGGUGAGUUGCUACUUAACUUAAUGUUAGCUGCUUCAGCAAAAUUAAGAGGAUUUGGGCAUUCUUAACAUUAUUAGCUAAUCUGUGACGAGUUUCUUUUGCAAUGUUAUUCGCUUAUUAGUGACUUUAUACUCAGCUCCAGCUUAACCUGCCAAUUAAAAAAAAAAAAAAAAAAACAGCGGGAGGAAGGUAAACUUUACUGGCGCCAUCGUGUGUUUCACGAUCUCACUGUGAAGUAGGACUGUGGAAUUAGACGCGCUGUGAGAAGAGCAGAGAGAGAGCUGAGCAGGUGAAGAUAUCUGUAUUAGUUGAUUUUGACCUUUUUUUGAAAGAGUGCGGUGACGUUAAAACCGCAGCCUCUGAUCUGCCGCAUCUGUUUUAACAGGCAGUGGCGAGUUGUUAAAUCAGUGUUUCCCAUAUGUAAUUUAUUUGUGGCGCCACAAUAUCAACGCAGACUGCCACAUAUUGAUAAUCGUUAAUUUUUUUUACUAGGCCUAUUUAAAAUCUAAAAUUUGAUUGCAUUGGCGCAGCACAUUCUUGCUCCCUUUCCCUCAUGAACACAGCUGCACAAAUCAGUGUUGGAGACCCAGCUUAAACAGUUAUUAGCAAGCAUGUAAGGAGCCUAGCUAGAUUUUACAGGCAUAGAUACCAGUCCCCUAAAAAUGAUAAUCUGUUUAUUAGUUUUUGCAUAGUUCUGCAAACUAACAGAUGGACAGGGUCAGGCAUGAAAACAUAACCUCCUUGGUGAAGGUAAAAAUCAAAAUCGAUCACAUAAAAAAUAAAUCGCCAAAGCAUCAAAUGAUAGGUUAAAAAGAAAAUGCACAAUUAAUGUUUGUAAUAUCAAGAAAUUGUCAAUAUUUGCCUUGUCUAUGUUUGUGAAAGGUGGUAGAAGUGUGUGUUGAAGUUGUGUUAUAACCUCUCCUAAAUAGGAGUACCUUUUUCGUAUAAUUGUGUACAGAUUGUUUUCGUCAUGUUUUGAGUUCAAAUGGCUAAGGCUUUAACACUUUAUUCAGUUAAUGUACUGUAUGUUUUGGCAGUAAAACAGUAGUGAGUCACUACAAAGACAGUCGUGGACGUGAAAGACGGGGCUUGAGCUGCAUUUACCCAAACUGUCUGACAGUCCUCCAAUCCCAUGUGGAUUUUGCAAAACAUAUAAAGGAGCACAAAAAAGGAUCAAAUCCUGUUGCUAAAAUACACUGUGAACUUUGUACUUUUUCAGCUCCAACCAAUAUCAAGCAAUAUUUUCUUCAUCUAAAGAGACAUUUGAGAAAUCGAGAGACUGUCAUUCAGACCGUCAGUCAUUUGUAAACGAUGAAGGGGAUGAUUUAGUGUCACCAGAUUUACUGUUGCCAGAACCUGUAUUUCAGCCUGUACAAAAGUCCAUUCAUAGGCGGAUUGCAUUCCUUUUAAUUAGGCUGCAAGCAGUCCUUCAUGUGUCAAAGUCAGCAAUUCAAGAAAUUGUGGAUGACUUACUUGAUAUUCGUGAAGGUGCUGGACAAAUAACAAGGCAGGCAAUUGAAAAUAUUUUGACAGUGCAUAAUUGCACAUCUGAGGAAUUGACAUCAUCGUUGACUGAAGCAUUACAGAGUUCAAACCCACUCACUUUGCUUUCAAGAGAGGGACCUCUAGGCACAGAAUAUAAAAGGCAGUCAUUUUAUAGACAAAACUUUUCUGUCAUUGAAUCUGUUGAAUAUGUUUUGAGUACACAAAGGUCUCAUACUGUUUAUGUCCCUAUUCUAAAAUUACUUUCUGAUCUACUCAAAAGAGAAGAAAUACUGCAUGUAUUGAGAGUAAACAAACCAGUUGAACAGUCUGGUCACUACAGGUCAUGUCUGGAUGGUGACUACUUUAAAAGUAAUCCAGUUCUCUCAGGUCAAGAUUUUAGUUUAUGCAUAACCUUGUACAUUGACGACUUUGAAAUUUGUAAUCCCUUGGGGACCUCCAGGAAAAAACACAAAGUCUGUGGUGUGUAUUGGACUCUUGCCAAUUUGCCAAGAAGAUGUAAGUCAUCACUUUCAUCAAUCUACCUAGCUUUACUGUGCAAGACUGAACAUAUCAAGAUUUAUGGGUAUAGUAGUGUUUUACAUCGUACUAUGUGGAGCAUCUACGGAGUUACCAUCUUGUGAGGAAAAGUCCUACUACAUGUCUGUUGGUGAAACCAGAGGAUCUCAAUGACUACGUGCCACAGGUGUCAUACUUCAUUCAAGGCUACCUUUUGGUCACUCCCAAGACAUUCUUGCUGAAAUAAACCCACUGUAAGUAAUUAUACUGUUAUUAGGGCUGAGCAAUUUUGAAAAAUGUGUAAUUGUGAUAAUUUUGACUGAUACAACUAAUUGAAUUUGUGUUCGAGGGAAUGAUCAUUUUUCAUCGGAAAAAAUAUAAAUUGUAGUGUUAUUUUGUUUGUUUGUUUUGUUUUUUUGGCGUGGAACUGCAAAAUAUUAAACACCUCAAUAUAAUGCAGCUCAAUACACUUUCACACAACUAUGCCCUAAAACAUAAUUGAAUUUACACCUUUUAGUACAAACUAGCUACAACCCACACGUGCAAAAGACCAAUAACACAAAUAUCACACACAGCUUACUAAUUUUACAUAAUUAAACAUGGAGCCCAUUGAAUUCAGUUUCGAAAGUUUCCUUUUUACGAGGAUCUGCAGUUGAGCAAGAUCAUUUGUGAGCGCAUAAUAAAACUAAUAAAAGGAUAAAGAGAGCCAUAUUUUUAGUUGUGGCUUGUUGUCGAACAAUGGCUACUACCAGAGACAGUUUAUAGGAGACAUGCCACAAAUCCUCAAUACAGCUCUAUGGGGAAAGCCCAUAAUGGCAACGAUGGCGGUUAUCCCGCCCCUCCCGCUAGAAAGCCAAUCGUCUGCUUUUAACAACCAAAGCGGAAACCUAUUUCAGCCAAUCGUAGGAGCCUGGUCUUGUUAGUCGAAAUAGCUCCCCAGAGCAGUUACCAAGAUGGCGGCCGAGUGGCAGGACUUGCCUAAAAGGACUUUUGCUACUACAUAGUGUGCAGAUUUGGAGUUGUAACCACAGUGAUGAGAUUGUGACCUGAAUGGCUUUGUAGAAACAAAUUGCACUGAAAAUGUCUGCAUAUUGAAAGCUACUUUUAACUACAACUGUUAGUGCCUCAAGGCAACAGUUUCAGUUCAGGUGACCCAUCUCUUUGACUUCAGAUUGACAGUUUAGACUGAGGUUGCAUUGCGAAAAAUCGUGCCAGUAUCAGAUUUAAGACCAAAUAUGGAACUGGCCAAACUCAGAAUAGAAAAUAUCAGAUUCCAUGUUCUGUUCACUGAUACUUAAAAAAUGUGGGAAUAAUUUUUUAAGGAUAGAUGUGUGUGUGACGGGGACUGAUAUGAAGAGGUUAUAGUAAACAUUUAUACUUGACGAUGUAUUUUUAUCUCUUUUCAGGUAAAAGUAGUCUACAAUGCUGCUGCGUGUCAUCAUAUCAGAAAAUGAAAUCAGACGUCUUUCAUUUGAAGACAUCCCAUCCAGUGUUGAGGAGCUGUAUCAGGUGUUGCGAACAAAGCUUGGUCUGAGAGGUGGAUUCAUUUUGCAAUUUGAGGAUCCUGAUUUCAAUAAUCAGUUGUGCAACCUAACAGACAUCAAAGACCUUCCUGUGGGGCGGGCAACUGUGAAACAGCUGAUGACGUCUCUUCUUCUCAUUUUCUCUUCAUUCUACACUGGACACUUGCAGCUUCCCUUCUCUUAGUAGUGGAGAUUCUGUUGAAUGGCCUGACCCCUUCCCGAUUCCACAGUUCUCACAUGAUGUGGAGCUGCAGCUGAAAGAAGCCAAUUGCAGAUCAGGGCGGAGUUCAAGAGAAUCGUCAUCAAAGACCUUCUGGAAUCUUUUCUCAACGGACUUGAUGGCCUGGUCCCAAGACUGCUAGAGGUGUACAAAGCAGCAAUCAAGACUGGAAAGAAGCAAUCACUCAGACAUUUUGGACUGCCUUCAGAAAGAUGAUACAAAUGAGAGAAGGACUGCUACCUUGCUUGGUCUGCCACACUACAUAUCAGGCGAAGAUCCAUCAACUGUCGUGUGACGCUCACACGGAGACUCUGGAUGAAGCCAUGAAGGGGAUGCAACUUGGCCUGCUGAUAGGCUAUGAAGGUGCUGAACGGGAUGCCUUUCCACGGGAGGUCUUCGAGAUAGCUGUUGUGGUUGAAGAGACCAUUGUGCUUCACAACAUUAAAGAUGUGGCAUGCAGCUUUGCCAUGCUCAUGGGUGUCAUCUACUGUGUCAAUCUCGAGUACCCAGAAGCCAUGAAGUAUUCCUUUGAGUUUCUUUAGAGAGUUGUGAUGAAGAUAAAACCAGAUCAAGCAUCUGCCCGAGAACAUGGACUAAGAAACAGAAUCCUGAGGUACAGACUGUAACACCUGCUCCUCAUUUUCUCAAGAUUCUCAUGUGGAAAUGGUUCCUGUCAAGACUUCAUUGUUCUUUUUUUAUAUGCACUUUCAGCACUGUUCUGUACUGUGGAAAAAAACAGCAGUGUCUCGCAAUUUAAAACUGUUAAUUUUGAGAAUGAUAGAGGGGACAAAACACUGAUCUUCCCCACUUCUUUAUUGGACGGAUUGUGAGAGCUGAUAGUCUCGACUGUUUCGAAGUCUUGUGACGUUAGAAGUGGAGUACUUAAGAAAACACAAACCAGCCUCAAAGUUCUUUAUCUUCAAUGGAACAAGACUGUAAUGGACUUGGACAUUUGAGUUUUGUGUUAAUAUUAUUACUACUCAUUAGUCACCAUGUUGUAGAAAUCACAAGCAUUUUACUGAUUACAGCUGAUGGUCUCAACUGUUCUCUCCUCAGACAGAUGUUUUUCUUUAUUACGUUUUUUGAUUGUUAAAUGCAGUUGCAGGCAAAUGGUCUCAAUGUUUAUAUCAUCUCAUUUAAAUGAACUGAUUGGUAUAAGAGUUGGUUGGGUUGACCUUGCUCUUUAUAGGUGACUGUGUUUAAAUACUGUUAGAACAUGUUAAAUUAUCAUAAAUAUGGUCUCACUUUGGCACUUGUGUCGUCUGAGAUAAAUGUUUUCAUUGGCUUUUAGGCUUGUUGCAUCAAUUACAAGUGUAUCUGAAGGAGACGAAGUCUGUGAGUUGAGGUACUUACAAUAAAUUACUUUUGAAUACA